This 2347-nucleotide ribosomal RNA is filed under the name Salmonella enterica subsp. enterica serovar Amager. RNAcentral describes it as "partial 23S ribosomal RNA". It matches the Rfam family "Bacterial large subunit ribosomal RNA", at positions 1 to 2364 of the family's 2925-position model. The record is from RNAcentral. Lineage: Bacteria; Pseudomonadati; Pseudomonadota; Gammaproteobacteria; Enterobacterales; Enterobacteriaceae.
GGGUUGUGAGGUUAAGCGACUAAGCGUACACGGUGGAUGCCCUGGCAGUCAGAGGCGAUGAAGGGCGUGCUAAUCUGCGAUAAGCGCCGGUAAGGUGAUAUGAACCGUUAUAACCGGCGAUACCCGAAUGGGGAAACCCAGUGUGACUCGUCACACUAUCAUUAACUGAAUCCAUAGGUUAAUGAGGCGAACCGGGGGAACUGAAACAUCUAAGUACCCCGAGGAAAAGAAAUCAACCGAGAUUCCCCCAGUAGCGGCGAGCGAACGGGGAGGAGCCCAGAGCCUGAAUCAGCAUGUGUGUUAGUGGAAGCGUCUGGAAAGGCGCGCGAUACAGGGUGACAGCCCCGUACACAAAAGCGCAUGUGCUGUGAGCUCGAUGAGUAGGGCGGGACACGUGGUAUCCUGUCUGAAUAUGGGGGGACCAUCCUCCAAGGCUAAAUACUCCUGACUGACCGAUAGUGAACCAGUACCGUGAGGGAAAGGCGAAAAGAACCCCGGCGAGGGGAGUGAAAAAGAACCUGAAACCGUGUACGUACAAGCAGUGGGAGCACCUUCGGGUGUGACUGCGUACCUUUUGUAUAAUGGGUCAGCGACUUAUAUUCUGUAGCAAGGUUAACCGUAUAGGGGAGCCGGAGGGAAACCGAGUCUUAACCGGGCGUUAAGUUGCAGGGUAUAGACCCGAAACCCGGUGAUCUAGCCAUGGGCAGGUUGAAGGUUGGGUAACACUAACUGGAGGACCGAACCGACUAAUGUUGAAAAAUUAGCGGAUGACCUGUGGCUGGGGGUGAAAGGCCAAUCAAACCGGGAGAUAGCUGGUUCUCCCCGAAAGCUAUUUAGGUAGCGCCUCGUGAAUUCAUCUCCGGGGGUAGAGCACUGUUUCGGCUAGGGGGCCAUCCCGGCUUACCAACCCGAUGCAAACUGCGAAUACCGGAGAAUGUUAUCACGGGAGACACACGGCGGGUGCUAACGUCCGUCGUGAAGAGGGAAACAACCCAGACCGCCAGCUAAGGUCCCAAAGUCAUGGUUAAGUGGGAAACGAUGUGGGAAGGCCCAGACAGCCAGGAUGUUGGCUUAGAAGCAGCCAUCAUUUAAAGAAAGCGUAAUAGCUCACUGGUCGAGUCGGCCUGCGCGGAAGAUGUAACGGGGCUAAACCAUGCACCGAAGCUGCGGCAGCGACGCUUAUGCGUUGUUGGGUAGGGGAGCGUUCUGUAAGCCUGCGAAGGUGGGUCGUGAGGGUUGCUGGAGGUAUCAGAAGUGCGAAUGCUGACAUAAGUAACGAUAAAGCGGGUGAAAAGCCCGCUCGCCGGAAGACCAAGGGUUCCUGUCCAACGUUAAUCGGGGCAGGGUGAGUCGACCCCUAAGGCGAGGCCGAAAGGCGUAGUCGAUGGGAAACGGGUUAAUAUUCCCGUACUUGGUGUUACUGCGAAGGGGGGACGGAGAAGGCUAUGUUGGCCGGGCGACGGUUGUCCCGGUUUAAGCGUGUAGGUGUGUGUUCCAGGUAAAUCCGGUUCACUUUAACACUGAGGCGUGAUGACGAGGCACUACGGUGCUGAAGCAACAAAUGCCCUGCUUCCAGGAAAAGCCUCUAAGCAUCAGGUAACAUCAAAUCGUACCCCAAACCGACACAGGUGGUCAGGUAGAGAAUACCAAGGCGCUUGAGAGAACUCGGGUGAAGGAACUAGGCAAAAUGGUGCCGUAACUUCGGGAGAAGGCACGCUGACACGUAGGUGAAGUGAUUUACUCAUGGAGCUGAAGUCAGUCGAAGAUACCAGCUGGCUGCAACUGUUUAUUAAAAACACAGCACUGUGCAAACACGAAAGUGGACGUAUACGGUGUGACGCCUGCCCGGUGCCGGAAGGUUAAUUGAUGGGGUCAGCGCAAGCGAAGCUCCUGAUCGAAGCCCCGGUAAACGGCGGCCGUAACUAUAACGGUCCUAAGGUAGCGAAAUUCCUUGUCGGGUAAGUUCCGACCUGCACGAAUGGCGUAAUGAUGGCCAGGCUGUCUCCACCCGAGACUCAGUGAAAUUGAACUCGCUGUGAAGAUGCAGUGUACCCGCGGCAAGACGGAAAGACCCCGUGAACCUUUACUAUAGCUUGACACUGAACAUUGAGCCUUGAUGUGUAGGAUAGGUGGGAGGCUUUGAAGUGUGGACGCCAGUCUGCAUGGAGCCGACCUUGAAAUACCACCCUUUAAUGUUUGAUGUUCUAACGUGGACCCGUAAUCCGGGUUGCGGACAGUGUCUGGUGGGUAGUUUGACUGGGGCGGUCUCCUCCUAAAGAGUAACGGAGGAGCACGAAGGUUGGCUAAUCCUGGUCGGACAUCAGGAGGUUAGUGCAAUGGCAUAAGC